CAUGGUGGCACAGUGGUUAAUGUAUCUGACUGGGAACCACGAGGUUGCAGGUUCGAUCCCUGCCCUUG
Molecule: transfer RNA, 68 nt
Filed under: Sus scrofa (pig)
Lineage: Eukaryota; Metazoa; Chordata; Mammalia; Artiodactyla; Suidae
Rfam family: tRNA
About the family: Transfer RNA (tRNA) molecules are approximately 80 nucleotides in length. Their secondary structure includes four short double-helical elements and three loops (D, anti-codon, and T loops).
Source: Rfam by way of RNAcentral